Pan paniscus (pygmy chimpanzee) is the source of this 3902-nucleotide long non-coding RNA. Lineage: Eukaryota; Metazoa; Chordata; Mammalia; Primates; Hominidae. The record is from Ensembl.
GGCCUCUCCUCCCUACUGUCUGCUCUCGCAGGCUGGUUUGUUAUGGCAUGAAAGAUGGCUCCGUGGAAUAAAGAUGUUUCCCCUCUGAUGAGCACAUUUGCAGAAGGAGGAGGACUGACACCAGCCACACGUAUGUCUGCUGCUGACAAAUGUGCGCACGCCUUGGAGGGCGGGGCCAGGCAGGACAGAGCCGCCCAUGACAGGGGGACACCUCCUGGUAAGAUUUUCUUCUCUAUCCCUCACACCUGCCCCUUUCAUCACUCCUCAAGGAGCCCUGCUUCUGAAAGUCCCGGGUGGGAAACGCACUAAUGUGCAAAGCACCAUCCUUGUCCUCUUCCAUCCAAUUCCCUGGUGAGUAAGGGAGCUUCCCUCCCUGUGCUUUUCUCCCUUCCUGGCUUUUCUAAGGGCAGUCACAUAAUUAAUUCUUAGAACUGUCCAAUUAUAUUUGACACUUAAUUUAAAACUCAAGGUUCCAUAAUGCAAAUCUUCUCCUGGUAAGAAGGGUGACAUGCACAUUGAACAUGUAGGCAACCUGACAGGUUGGAGGGGCAGUUCUGUGUGACUCCCAGAGAGGGAAGGGAGCUGACUUUUAUUGAACACCUACUUUAUAUCCAGUGAUUUCCAUCGAUUACCUCACUUCCUUCCCACAACCCUAUGAGGCAAGUACUGUUACUGCAUCCAUUGUGCAGACAAGGACACCAAGACCCAACACGACUAAUUUACCCAAGGUCAUCCUGUUAGGGAAGAGCCCAAGCUAGGAUUCAUGGUCUUGAGAUCUUGAGAGCCCCUUAUGUCUUUGUGCGAUUCAAUUCCUCCUUCAAGGAUGAAAGCAGGAAUCCCCGAAAAUGGAAACUUCCUUCCCAUGAGGGUGGGAGUCAGAGGCAGACUCCGGCUGCACAUCACAGAAUGCCUAGCUACAGCAGCUUACUUGGUGCAGGUUACUUGUCCCACAUACCAAGAAACCCAGAGGCAGGGCCAUCCAGAGCUGGAGCAGCUCAGUGAUGACUUCAAGAACUGAGACUCUUUCUAUCUUCCUGCUUCACCAUCCUUGCAUUCUAACUUCUUGCAUUUUGGUUGCAAAGAGACCUCUGCAACACAAAGCAUCGUAUCUUCAGUCCAGGGAGGGAAGAGGGUUUAAAAAAAAGGGAUAAAAGGAAUUCCCCCAGCCAAGGCUUUGUCUUUUUAUUUGGGAAGAGGAACCCUCCCCAGCAGACUUCCCCUUGCCUGUGAUUGGCCAGAUCCCAUCUCUCUCACCUUCUCCCCACCUACACCAGUUGUUGGCCAAGGGAAUGAGUUGUCAUGACUUGUUUAGACCAAUCAUGAUUCAUCUCCUGGGACUGGCAGACGGCCCUUGAUCUUUGCCUCCCUAAGAUCAAAGAAUCUCCAGUUGCUAAUUAUGCAAGUCACAUUGUUAACAGGGAAGGAGUGGGGAUGGCUGUUGGAUAUGCAACGGACAGUGUCUGCCACACCCAGCUCUUAUCCUUAGCCACCUCUUGGUCUGAUGGAAGAGACCUGAGUCCCAACUGGAGAAUGACUCUGAUAUUCUGGGUAUGUGCACAGACAGCUUUGAGGAGUUUUGGAAAUUUGGUUCCCUUCUAAGCUACCACUAUUUCUGGGGUCUGCCUACCUCGACACCCCUAAGGGGGAGGGGGAGAAUUUGUGCUUUGUCCUCUGGACCCGGGUCUAUUGAUCUAUGUGUGAGUGGACAGGGGUGACCCCAUGAUCACUCCCCCAUGUGUAAGCUCCAGAGCAAGCUGUGGCCUCUGCUUGGGACAGACAAUGUCCUGAGUGGUUAACUCUGGAAACCAGUGUGCCUGGGUAUCAAAAUGAGAGCCUGGACAUCUUAUCCAUACAUCUCACACUCCUGCUUUGUAAAAUCAAUGGGAAGGGGGUUGUUCCCUUCCCACCUCCAUCUGCAGCUGGGGCAUGACAGAGCAUCCCCCAGUCGUGGUACUCAUGGGGAAGUUCUUAUCACUGUCUCCUUCCUAUUCAGCUGGGGGCAGAUUCACUUGCUAGGAGGAGCAUCUGUCAGGAAGUAGGCAGGAACCAGGCGGCACACUCGACAGGAACGUGCUCAUCACCUGUCCCACAGGAUUACAAAGGCCAUUUCUGGGCUCCUGGCUGCCUCGCUCAUUUACCCCAAGACUUCUGAUACUCUCCAAAUCUUCUUCAGGUGUCUCCUCCAUGCAGAUGGGAAGGCUGGUAGGAGGUUUCUGAGUCCUAUAGCCCCAUCUCAGGCCCCUCCAUGUGCAAACUAGGUCACAUCUCUCUUUCCUUGAGGCCCCAGUGGCUUCCCAUAUUCCUGAGACUAAAACUCAAACUCUUUACCCUGACCUACAAGUAGAGUGACCGUCAUCCCAACAAUAUUAUUAGGAGAGCGACCUUUCAGUUUCAAUGCAUUCUAGUCUGGAUGAUAAAUUACAAGGUCACCCUAUCACACAGCAGGCUUUUUGUGUCCCCAGCCUCCUCUCCUCCAGCUGGCUCUGCUUACCUGCCUUGCUCCAGCCAGGCAGAGAAGUUCCCUGAAGCAGCCACGCUCUCGCCCACCACAUCACCCUCAUGCACAAGUUACCUCCACCUGGAACAUUCUACCCCGGUUUCUUCCCCUGCCUAAUUUCUACUCAGCUCUCAGGCCUGAUUUAGAUGUUCCUUUUUUCAGAGGAGUCCUUUAUGGCCCAUCAACCUUAAGUUGGGUCCUCCCUCUCUCCUGUCAUACAAAUGCUUAUUUCUCAUAGUGCCAGAAUCAUCAGUUGUAUCUGUUUCCCCCACUAGAUUGUAAGCACCAUGAAGGCAGAGGUCAUUGUAUCUCCAGAACCUAGCAUGGGGCUGUUGCCCCAUAACCAUAUGUUUUAUGAAUGAAUAAAUGGAUGAAUGAAAACACAGUGUUUCCCAUAAAUGCACACACACACACACACACGCAUACACACCCCUCCAAGAUACCAAGCCCACCACAAUCAUCUCCAGGGAGAUGUAAUUCUGGCACAAUCUGAGCUUCCCAGCAGCAAAACAUGCCAUUCUGAGUUGCUUACCCCAUGAAGGGUUCAAACAAGGGCCAUCUGUCAGGAAAGGAGACACAUGGACUGAGGAAUAUUGCCUUGCAGGCUUCUGAACGAUGAUUGAUUCUCAUCCUCCCUCACACAGGACAGCAGCCAGAUUACCUCCAACUCCAGACUACCACAUUCAACACCACAGUGAACAUCUCUGUAUGUGUCCCAUUAUGGUCUCAUGUGAAAAUUCCCCUGGAAUAGAGAUGUCCCAGGUAGCUGAAUUGAUGGGCCAUUGGGGAUGUAUAUUCUUAAUUGAAUUAAUCCCCCCUUUUUUAUUUCUUUCUUUUUUUUCUUUUGGCUUGUACAAGUUCUAGAAUUCUUGGACUGAUUAUCCAUCUUGACAAAGGAGGCCUUGAAUCAAAUUUAAUCUGGUAAAAAAAUAAAUAUACCUUUCUUUUCUGCAAUAGACUAAAUGUAUAGUCCCCACAAAAUUCAUUUUAACCCCCAAGAUGAUGAUGUUAGAAAGUGGGGACUUUGUGAGGUGAAUAGGUCCUAAUGGUAGAACCCUCAUGCAUAGGUUUAGUGCACUUAUCAAAGAGACAUCGGAGAGAUCCCUUGUGCCUUCUGCCAUGUGAGUUAUAGUGAGAAGACAGCCAUCUACUAGGAAUCAGAACGUCAUCAGACACCAAAUCUGCCAGCACCUUGAUCUUAGAUUUCCCAGAUUCCAGAACUGUUAGAAAUAAAUUUCUGUUGUUUAUAAGCCACCCAGUCUAUGGUAUUUUGUUAUGGCAGCCCGAAAAGACUAAGACAUAUGCCAAGCACCAUAGGAAAUGUGCUACCUGCUAUAGACACAUCUUCUAUGUGCCAUUAUCCACCCUUUAAAUAAAGGCCUUAGAAUGAGCUGGGCAAUGGAGG